Molecule: ribosomal RNA, 492 nt
Filed under: uncultured bacterium
Lineage: Bacteria
Description: partial 16S ribosomal RNA
Rfam family: Bacterial small subunit ribosomal RNA
Source: RNAcentral
AGUGAACGCUGGCGGUAGGCCUAACACAUGCAAGUCGAACGGCAGCACAGUAAGAGCUUGCUCUUACGGGUGGCGGGUGGCGGACGGGUGAGGAAUACAUCGGAAUCUACUUUUUCGUGGGGGAUAACGUAGGGAAACUUACGCUAAUACCGCAUACGACCUACGGGUGAAAGCAGGGGAUCUUCGGACCUUGCGCGAUUGAAUGAGCCGAUGUCGGAUUAGCUAGUUGGCGGGGUAAAGGCCCACCAAGGCGACGAUCCGUAGCUGGUCUGAGAGGAUGAUCAGCCACACUGGAACUGAGACACGGUCCAGACUCCUACGGGAGGCAGCAGUGGGGAAUAUUGGACAAUGGGCGCAAGCCUGAUCCAGCCAUACCGCGUGGGUGAAGAAGGCCUUCGGGUUGUAAAGCCCUUUUGUUGGGAAAGAAAAGCAGCGGGUUAAUACCCCGCUGUUCUGACGGUACCCAAAGAAUAAGCACCGGCUAACUUCGUG